UACGUAGGGAGCAAGCGUUGUCCGGAUUCACUGGGUGUAAAGGGUGCGCAGGCGGAUUCGUAAGUCAGGGGUGAAAUCUCACAGCUUAACUGUGAAACUGCCCUUGAUACUGCAGAUCUUGAGUUCGGGAGAGGUUGAUGGAAUUCCAGGUGUAGCGGUGAAAUGCGUAGAUAUCUGGAAGAACACCAGUGGCGAAGGCGGUCAACUGGCCCGUAACUGACGCUCAGGCACGAAAGCGUGGGUAGCGAAC
Molecule: ribosomal RNA, 250 nt
Filed under: uncultured bacterium
Lineage: Bacteria
Description: partial 16S ribosomal RNA
Rfam family: Bacterial small subunit ribosomal RNA
Source: RNAcentral